Molecule: long non-coding RNA, 695 nt
Organism: Dermacentor silvarum
Lineage: Eukaryota; Metazoa; Arthropoda; Arachnida; Ixodida; Ixodidae
Exons: 2
Source: RefSeq, a predicted model, not a curated record
AUCACAGCCUCCGCGGUCGGAGCGGGUCCUUCCACCAUGGAUUGUCGCUUUUGUAAACAGAGAAAACGAUGCCGCUCGAUGCCCUCCAUGCAGGACGCAGCAGCCGCUUUCUGUGAAUCAGGACUGACGUCACAUACGAAAGACAACUGUCACAGUCACGUCACCAGACUUGCAGCCAUUCACGUGGAGUUGCCUGAAUACAACGGCGAAGCUCCAGCCAAUGGAUCAGGGAGUGAUCAACAGCCUGAAGAUCGCCGAUCACUCCUUCAGAGAAUGUUGCAUUGUAUGGAGAGCAAUAAACAAUACACAGUGGAUAUCUGUCGUGCCUGACAGCUCGGCGCAGGAUUACUGCGAUGACAACGCGGAUGAGGCAAGCUUGCUAUCUACGCUGGGCAGUAAAGGUGUUUUUGUGGACAUGAGCACCUACGUCAGUGUCGAGCAAGAUGUGCCAAUGUGCGGAGAGGAUAUGGUAAACACUCUCAUUGAAGAGGUCCUUGAGCUGUUUUUAGAGCAUAAUUACGACGACGACAAGUACGGACGCUAGAUCGGAGCCUGCACCGAUGACCUGUGAGGCGGUAGAUGCCUGCUUGAACUCCCUAGUUGACUUUUUCCAACAGCACGAAGGCACAGGAUUUUUAAGGUCAUUAGCUGAGAUUAUGUCGUUUGUGGCUGCUCGGCUAUUUGCACAGAAGCAA